UGAGGAAUAUUGGUCAAUGGACGAAAGUCUGACGCAGCCAUGCCGCGUGUGUGAAGAAGGCCUUCGGGUUGUAAAGCACUUUCAAUUGGGAGGAAAGGUUCACGGUUAAUAACCGUGAGCUGUGACGUUACCUUUAGAAGAAGCACCGGCUAACUCCGUGCCAGCAGCCGCGGUAAUACGGAGGGUGCAAGCGUUAAUCGGAAUUACUGGGCGUAAAGUGCGCGUAGGUGGUCUGUUAAGUCGGAUGUGAAAGCCCCGGGCUCAACCUGGGAACUGCAUCCGAUACUGGCAGACUAGAGUGCGGGAGAGGGAGGUAGAAUUCCACGUGUAGCGGUGAAAUGCGUAGAUAUGUGGAGGAAUACCAGUGGCGAAGGCGGCCUCCUGGCUCGACACUGACACUGAGGUGCGAAAGCGUGGGGAGCAAACAGG
RNAcentral lists this ribosomal RNA (429 nucleotides) under uncultured bacterium. Its description in RNAcentral is "bacterial SSU rRNA". It matches the Rfam family "Bacterial small subunit ribosomal RNA", at positions 355 to 776 of the family's 1533-position model. The record is from RNAcentral.